This 72-nucleotide transfer RNA is filed under the name Camelus bactrianus (Bactrian camel). It matches the Rfam family "tRNA". From Rfam's summary of the family: Transfer RNA (tRNA) molecules are approximately 80 nucleotides in length. Their secondary structure includes four short double-helical elements and three loops (D, anti-codon, and T loops). The record is from Rfam by way of RNAcentral. RNAcentral also lists the same sequence under 3 other names. Lineage: Eukaryota; Metazoa; Chordata; Mammalia; Artiodactyla; Camelidae.
GUGGAUAUAGCUCAGUGGUAGAGCACAUGCUUAGCAUGCCUGAGGGCCUAGGUUCAAUUCCCAGCACCUCCA